GGAUUAUUGGGCGUAAAGCGCGCGCAGGUGGUUUCUUAAGUCUGAUGUGAAAGCCCACGGCUCAACCGUGGAGGGUCAUUGGAAACUGGGGAACUUGAGUGCAGAAGAGGAAAGUGGAAUUCCAAGUGUAGCGGUGAAAUGCGUAGAUAUUUGGAGGAACACCAGUGGCGAAGGCGACUUUCUGGUCUGUAACUGACACUGAGGCGCGAAAGCGUGGGGAGCAAACAGGAUUAGAUACCCUGGUAGUCCACGCCGUAAACGAUGAGUGCUAAGUGUUAGGGGGUUUCCGCCCCUUAGUGCUGCAGCUAACGCAUUAAGCACUCCGCCUGGGGAGUACGGUCGCAAGACUGAAACUCAAA
Molecule: ribosomal RNA, 359 nt
Filed under: Bacillus sp. (in: firmicutes)
Lineage: Bacteria; Bacillati; Bacillota; Bacilli; Caryophanales; Bacillaceae
Description: bacterial SSU rRNA
Rfam family: Bacterial small subunit ribosomal RNA
Source: RNAcentral